RNAcentral lists this ribosomal RNA (453 nucleotides) under uncultured bacterium. RNAcentral's name for it is "bacterial SSU rRNA". It matches the Rfam family "Bacterial small subunit ribosomal RNA", at positions 340 to 786 of the family's 1533-position model. The record is from RNAcentral.
UACGGAAGGUAGCAGUGGGGAAUAUUGCACAAUGGGCGCAAGCCUGAUGCAGCCAUGCCGCGUGUAUGAAGAAGGCCUUCGGGUUGUAAAGUACUUUCAGUCGUGAGGAAGGUGUUAAGGUUAAUAACCUUAGCAAUUGACGUUAGCGACAGAAGAAGCAUCGGCUAACUCCGUGCCAGCAGCCGCGGUAAUACGGAGGGUGCGAGCGUUAAUCGGAAUUACUGGGCGUAAAGGGCACGCAGGCGGUUAAUUAAGUUGGAUGUGAAAUCCCCGGGCUUAACCUGGGAAUGGCAUUCAAGACUGGUUAGCUAGAGUCUUGUAGAGGGGGUAGAAUUCCAUGUGUAGCGGUGAAAUGCGUAGAGAUGUGGAGGAAUACCGGUGGCGAAGGCGGCCCCUGGACAAAGACUGACGCUCAUGUGCGAAAGCGUGGGGAGCAAACAGGGAUUAGAUACC